This is a non-coding RNA of Caenorhabditis elegans, 150 nucleotides long. The record is from Ensembl. NCBI's taxonomy places the organism in Eukaryota, Metazoa, Nematoda, Chromadorea, Rhabditida, Rhabditidae.
GGCCUCUCCGGUGAGCACUUCGAUGAGAUGGCAUAGGAGAACACCAUCUCGGAUGUCUUCGAAAAGAUCCUCAAUUCGACCGGAUGAACUGUGCUGAAAUUUUUGGAAAAUUUUAAAGUGUAAUAUUAAACUUUUAUCUAUAAUUAUGUU